GGGGAUGUAGCUCCGUGGUAGAGCGCAUGCUUUGCAUGUAUGAGGCCCUGGGUUCAAUCCCCAGCAUCUCCA
Molecule: non-coding RNA, 72 nt
Organism: Chelonia mydas (Green sea turtle)
Lineage: Eukaryota; Metazoa; Chordata; Testudines; Cheloniidae
Source: Rfam